This 29642-nucleotide long non-coding RNA is filed under the name Homo sapiens (human). Its description in RNAcentral is "non-protein coding CLDN10-AS1:5". The record is from RNAcentral. Lineage: Eukaryota; Metazoa; Chordata; Mammalia; Primates; Hominidae.
AGACAGAGCUCUGGGUAGAGUCUGGGUAGAGGGACCUGUGGUGGGAGAAAGAGAGAAGAUCAGAGUGGAGGGGAGAAGCAGGGUUGGGGCCUUGAAGGUACUGCUGAGCAUGUGGGUCCUUAUCCUUACCCUGCAUUGCCCGCAGGCCUGACCUUUGCUUCAUUCUUCAUGGCUGCCAAGUGAGAGUGUGGCCCCUGCAGAUGGUUGGAUCAUCCAUCCAGUUCUUUGCUUCCUCUAGCUGAUAUCCUUCUUUGCUGUACUAUAUGGGAAAAGCAAGAAAUAUUUGACACCAAAAUUGCUUCCUUUGUGUGGCCCCGUAUUGCCCUGUAUAGAAGCAUUUCGUCUUCACAACAACUCUAUGAGCAGUGUGAAGAUGGACUAAUACAAAGAGGAACUAGGGGAGCUUGGAGGAACCAGAGACUCAAUCAGGGAUUCAAGUGAAGUCUCUGUUGCAAACCCUUGAGCAGGUGAGAACCCCUGGACUCUUGCAGGGGAUGUGGGAGGAGCUGUACAUACAGACAGUGCUGUCCAGCCAAUGUGGGUUCAAACCCUGCAUCUGUCACUGGCUAUGUGACCUUGAUCAAGUUCCUUAAGGUCUCCAGGUUUGUUUUCUUAUCUGUAAGAUGAGAAUCCUCUUCUGCAAACCAUGUCUGUUUAAAAUAUGUGCUUAUUUUGAAAGUGAUGUAGCAACAUUUUCUCUAGUUAAUGUUCUUUCUCCCUCAUAAUUUUAAAACAUUUAUUCAUGACUAUAAUGUUAAGUCUGUGACUUUAUUUUUGCUAAAUGUCCAUCUCAGAGAAGAAUAUGACUUUAUAUAGCGAAGUAUUUUUUAAAAAAUAGCCUUAGUAAUGCAUAUUUGCAAUAAAAAUAUUUGACAAUCCUAAUACCUUCAGGCUUGUCAUUGGAAUGAAAUGUGAUAAUUAAGUAAAACCCAUUCUUGCUACAAAGAUUUAAGUGGUGGCCACUUUUUUUCCCCCCGAGAUGGAGUCUUGCUCUGUCACCCAGACUGGAGUGCAGUGGUGUGAUCUCAGGUCACUGCAACCUCUGCCUCCCAGGUUCAAGCAAUUUUCCCUGCCUCAGCCUCCCAAGUAGUUGGGAUUACAGGCACCCGCCACCACACCCGGCUAAUUUUUAUAUUUUUAGUAGAGAUACGGUUUCACCAUGUUGACCAGGCUGUUCUUGAACUCCUGACCUCGUGAUCUGCCUGCCUCGGCCUCCCAAAGUGCUGGGAUUACAGGCAUGAGCCACUGCACCCGGCCGGUGGCCACUAUUUAUUAGGAAGCUUGUUAUCUUCUACCACUGCACCUGCUGAUGAUUGCUCUCACAGGCACUUAACCACUGGCUAAUAAAAUGAAAGUUCCUUAAACCUUACGCACAGGAAGCCACUUAGGCUGCAGUUGCAGCCCUGUGCCAGGGCAGUGCUUGGCCAGUGACCUAUAACUCCCUGAGGCUCCUUGUGAGGGAGCAACUCCUGAAGUCACAUGGCGAAGAUGCUCACAGGACAUGAUUCUUAGGAUGAUCCCACCUGUCGAGACCACAGGCUGUAACUCACUGUCACAAGUUAGUGAUGAACGCGGAACCUUAAUGAAACCGCCAGCGACAGCUGUGCCAUACUGCAAGUCACCACUAGGGGGAAGCAGAAUACAAGCAUCCGGGUAAGAACCAACGAAGCGCUGAGGAACGUGGCCCAGGAAGCCAAAUGGGGAUGGGAGGGGAGAAGGAUCCUAGGCGCACCCUCCCUGUUCACCCCACCCACCGGGCAGACCUGCACACUCCUGGUCUUGCUCUCAAACCAUCUGAUUCCUCUGUUUCUCUGUUCUCUGGUCCUGGUACAGCACAUUAUAUCUUCCGUAUGGCAAAGGCCAGUGGUUCUCUAACAUGGCUGUAUGUUUAAAUCACCUGGGGAGUUCUGUAAACGCUCUACAUCCUGGCCUUAUCUCAAUUAAAUCUGAAUCUCCAGUGUUUGGAAGCAGGGAUCAGUGCUUUUUAUAUUUAUUUAUUUACUUGCUUAUUUAUUUUUGAGACAGAGUCUCACUCUGUUGUCCAGGCUGGAGUGCAGUGGUGCGAUCUUGGCUCACUGCAACCUCAGCUCCCUGGGCUCAAGCGAUUCUCAUGCCUCAGCCUCCCAAGUAGCUGGGACUACAGGCAUGCACCACCAUGUCCAGCUAUUUUUUUUUUCUAUUUUAGUUGAUAUGGUGUUUUGCCAUGUUGGCCAGGCUGGUCUUGAACUUCUGACUCAAGUGAUCUGCCAGCCUCAGCCUCCCAAAGUGCUGGAAUUAUAGGCAUGAGCCACUGUGCCUGGCCUCCAGAGCUUUUUAAAACACAACAGGUGAUUCCAAUUUGCAGCCAAUUUUGAGAACCACUGUUUUAGGCAAAAGAUCUCAUUUCUUUUCACAUGAAAGCUGGCUUUCAUUGUUAGAGGACUCCUCCAAGAAGCCUCCCUAACGAACCACACGUUUUCCUCCUCCUCCUCCAUCUGUCCACGGGCCUGUCUGCAGCUGAUGCCAGUACUUAUCAUGGCUUAAGAUACAUAUGGGUUACCUGAGGGUGUUGCAGAUUCAGAUUCGUUCAGUCUGGGGUGAGGGGUUGAGACGCUGCCUCUCUAAGUCCCAGGUGCUGCUGGUCCACAGACCAUCCACAGUAGGGUUGGCAGGACAUCAACCUGUGUUUCCGCAUGUGCACCUUUGCAGUUGUUCUCUGUUUUGCAUUCCUUUUCUGCUUCUGUAUUAACCAUGUUUCUCCUUUCUGUAAACCUGAUGCUUUAACAUCUGCCCCGCGUGCAUCUGCAGGACACACCUUGCUCUGUGCAACCCAAUAAUAUGUCUCCCUCACUGUCCCCCUCCCCCUGGAAGGAGUCCUCCGGGUGAUAUGCUUUUCAAAUGAAAACCAACCCAGAGCUCGCAUCCCAACCAAUUCCCUUAUCUGGCUCUCACACUCCAGGCCACUAUCCCCCUGCCCUAAUCACCCAGGACCAGGUAUCUGACAAAUAGGAACAGCCUGUAUGCCCCAGAGCCUGCUGAAAUGAUUUAAACUAGCCAGUCCUGAGCUAGCUAACCCUGCCUUGCCCACUCUUUCCUGUGGAAACCAUAAUAAGGGCUCUGGCCACGUUCUCUUCUCCCUCUGCCUCUUGACCAGCCCUCGUGCUGCCCCGGGUGUCCCUGCAUGGCGUGGCGUGCCCACUUCUCUUAGAUCUGAGAGUAAGAAACUCUCUCUUCAGUGAGAGUCAUCAUCUGAUCUAUUGGCCUCACCAAAGCUGAAUAAAAUUAAAACCUAUUAGAGCAACUCCCCUGCUAGGAGGAGAGGCGUGGCUGGUUCCCAACUUGUCUGCAUCCCGCCUCUCCUCCCAGUCUUGCUUGGGUCCCUGCUAUGCUGCUCAUGGUAUGAACACAAGACCCUGUACACACACAGAAAAGAGCACAAUCAGUGACUGUUGAAUGAAUAAGUGAACAAAUGUAGGGAGAAAAAUUCUGAACUUGGAGACCUGGCUCUGCCACUAACAGCUGUGAGAGAUUGUGAAGGUGCCCCCGAGACUCAGUGACUUCAUCUGUCCUGUUAUUUCAUAGUGAGGCCACCUGAGCAAUAUGUGUUAAAGCCCCUUUUCAUCCACAUGGUAGCAUCCUCCUUUCUCUCUCCAUCUCCUACUUGUCACUGGUGUUCAGGGUUCCAGCCUUGCCCUUCACACACUGCCUGGGAGGUCCCAUCUGUUUCUGAGUCUUUGAAUCUUCACCCACAGCUGCUAUGGUCUGAAUAUCUGUGUCCCUCCAAAAUUCACACGUUGAAAUCCAAAUGCCCAAGGUGAUGGCGUUGGGAGGUGGGGCCUUCGGGAGGUGAUUAGAUCUUGAGGGUGGAGCCCCCAUUAAUGGGAUUAGUGCCCUUAUACAGAAGGCUCCGGAGAGCUGCCUCACUUCUGCCACCACGUGAGGACACAGAGAGAAGACUCACCUGUGAAUCAGAAAGCAGCCCUCACCGGACACCAAAUCCAUCAGCACCUUGACCUUGGACUUACUUCCCACCCUCCAGAACCGUGGGAAAUACAUUUCUGUUGUCUAUGAGUUACCCGAUCUAAGGCAUUUUGUUAUAGCAGCCUGAACAGACUAAGACACCAGCUCAGGCUCCCCUCUUGAGCUCCACACACGUCUAACCAAAUGCCGACAAUCCAUCUCUAUCCUGUCAACCUGCCUGUAAGUCAUAUUUGACACAUUCAAAAUCGAGUUUAUCAUGCCUUUGCGCCUCCCAAACCAGCUCCUCCCCUCAUAUGUCCUAUCACCACAAGUGCCCAGAAGGGGAGUGGCACACGGAAGGAAGCAAUCUGGGCGAUGGGGGUGGAAUUAGAUGGCAGAGAUUUGUGACAAGCAUAGAAGACCACCCAGCACGCUCAGGGGCAGCAUCAAUCAUAAGUCACAUCACAGCAGAGCCAUGGUGCUCAUCACAGCAGAGCCAUGGUGCUCAAGUCCCGACAGGGAGAGAGGGUGAGGGAGAGAGAGAGAGAGAGGGAAAGAGGGAGAGAGAGGGACAGAGAGAGACAGAGAGAGAGAGAGAGAUGCAGGGACCCUCGACCCAUGCAGGUGGGCUUGGGAUCAUGAGAGCACAUGAGGAUAGACCCCAGGCUGGCUUCACUGAGACGCCACCCAGAGAAAGGCAGCUGGAGGAUGAGGUGGGAAUGGAGCCCUUGCCACCUUCCUGGAGCUCCAAGCCAGUCACCCUCACCAGGGGCCCAGAGGCCAUUGGGGCAAACAGCACUGAAACUCUUUCAAACCCUGCUGGCCACUUCCCUCCCUUGGGGAGCAGCAGAGAAGCCCACUGGUGGCCAGUGCUCAGUCAGCACAGCUGAGGUGGGCUGGCAAAACUCCUGGCUCUCUCUGUCUCCGAGAAUUGGCUGGGGCAUCUGAUGGUGGUUGCAGAGCCUCAUCUCCCCUCUCUUGAACUUAGCGGAGAUCAGGCUCAGCAGAUCUGCCCAGGUCCCCAGGAGGCCGGGCUGGUUACAGUCUCUGGGGACCAGGUGCUCCCCUUUUGAACCAAGGUUAUUUCUCCCAACCAGGGAGCUUCCAUAAUCACAGGGAUGUCCCCUGACCCCAUCCCUACAAAUAUGUAGAGUGCAAGGGAGCAGGCAGCAGGGGGCAGGGGUGGGCUCUUAAUCCCUGGCAGGGAGCUGCUGCCGUCUGAUCCUCUGAUCCGAGUUGUGGGACAGCACUGGGUGUGUGCUCCUACUUCCUGGCUUAUAGGUUUCCUCCUCUGUGUGGCACCAGCAUGUGUGUCCUUGACUCCUUAGCAGAGAGGAGCCAAUUCACUCUGUCUGUGAAGCCAAAACACAAGAGACCUGCAAGUUUUGAACCCUCCUCUCCACCAAGAUGUGAGACGUAUACUGGCAGAUCCCUGAGAUCCCAUUAGGCUCAGGCCCUCCACCCACCGCCUCUUCUGGGCUCAAGCCUCCCUCUGGCACCUGCAGCACAGAACAGCCUCCUCCAGCCUGGCUCCACGCCUGCCCCACCCCCAUCUUCCUCCACCCUACCCCCUGGAAUGAGCUUCCCAAAAGGCAGAUCUUACCAGGUCUCUCUCCUCCUUGGAGCACUUAUCAAUCUCUACUUGCCUUUUCCAUUCUCUUCUCCCCAUCCGUUUCUACAUAUGGGUUUCCUCCCCAGUUUCACUGAGACAGGGCCAUUGCCCUUGCAGGCCUCCCUGCUGUUUCUGAAUACACAGCUUCUUCUUGGAUUUGUUCUCUUACUCUCUUCCCUGCUAGAAGCCGUGGCUAACCUGUUCUUAUCUUCCCUGACUGAGGUGGGCCUAUUUCUCCGCUCUGUGCUCAUAGCAGCCUCCUCUAACCUCCAUUUGAGACUUUGUUUUAUUGCAGGGGUCCCCAACCCCUGGGCCAUGGGCUGGUACCAGUCUGUGGCCUGUUAGGAACUAGGCCGUACAGCAGGAGGUGAGUGGCAGGCAGGUGAGUGAAGCUUCAUCUGUAUCUGCAGCUGCUCCCCAUGGCUCACAUCACCACCUGAGCUCCGCCUCCUGUCAGAUCAGCUGGGCAUUAGAUUCUCAUAGGAGCACGAACCCUAUUGCAAACUGCACAUACGAGGGAUCUGGGUUCCCUCCUCCUUAUCAGAAUCUAAUGCCUGAUGAUCUGUCACUCUUGAUGAUCUGUCACUGUCUCCCAUCACCCCCAGAUGGGACCGUCUAGUUUCAGUAAAACAAGCUCAGGGCUCCCACUGAUUCUACGUUAUGGUGAGUUGUAUAAUUAUUUCAUUAUAUAUUGCAAUGUAAUCAUAAUACAAAUAACCUGCACAAUAAAUAUAAUGCAUUUGAAUCAUCCUGAAACUACCCUGCGACCCCCGUCCGUGGAAAAACUGUCUUCCACGAAACCGGUCCCUGGUGCCAAAAAGGUUGGGGACCGCUGUUCUAUUGCAUUACAUUCUAAUACUUUAUUUUUUAUUUCUGUUUCCUUCACUGUGGGCGAGCCCCUUCAGGGCAGGGGUUUGUUCCCUCCGAAGCUUAACAGCCUGGCGGCAGAGCUGGCCUUUGAAGGUUUUCUGUGAAAUGAGUUCACCGGUGAUUCUCCAGAUGUGGUCCCUGAACCAGCAGCAUAGCAGGGCCCAGGAACCUGUGAGAAAUGCAAUUCUCAGUCCCGCCCUGACCUGCCGAGUCAGAGCUCUGGGGACGGCACCCGGUCCUCAGCCCUCGGUUCCCGUAGCCCUUCUGGGUGAUUCUCAUGCAUGCUCUCAUUAGAGGUCAGCUGAAUAAGGCACGUGAGAGCCUAAUGAAAUAUGAUGUGAAUGGGAUUUGCUAUUACUACUCAGCCUAGACUGAAGGAUCCUGGGGUGGUGAGCGGCCGAGGGCGGAGCUGUUCCCUGGCCCCCCAUCCUCAUCACUUGGCAUGCAGGCUGCCUGAGGCACCCGAGGCGCAUCUCUUCCUCAGCCCUUGUUAGACCAUGUUAUUUCUUUUUUAAUUUUAAUUUUUAGUUCUGGGGUACAUGUGCAGGAUGUGUAGGUUUGUUACACAGGUAAAUGUGUGCCAUGGUGGUUUGUUGCAUCUAUUAACCCAUCACCUAGGUCUUAAGCUCAGCAUGCAUUAGCUAUUUUUCCUAGUGCUCUCAAUUGUGUUGUUAGUAAUACACACGGAAGUUCUAGGGAGGAACCCAAUGCCCAAAGAGAGACCCUUGAUUCUCUCUCUCUCUCCUUUUUUUUUUUUUUUUUUUUGAGAUAGGUUUUCACUCUGUCACCCAGCUUGAAGUGCUGUGGUACGAUCGUAGCUCACUGCAGCCUCAAACUCCUGGGCUUAAACAAUCCUUCUACCUCAGCCUGUUGAGUAGCUGGGACCACAGGUGCAUGCCACCACACCCAACUAAUUUUUAAAUUAUUUGUACUGACAAGUCUCCCUGUGUUGCCCAGGCUGCUCUUGACCUCCUGGGCUCAAACAAUCAUCCUGCCUCAGCCUCCCAAAGUGCGGGGAUUACAGGUGUGAGCCACUGCACCAGGACAGAGAGCACCUGAUUCUAGGAGCCAUGGUUGGGACAUCCAAGUGGAACUCUGUGGUCAUAGAACCGGGUUUCUCAUCCCACACUCUCAAAUUAAAAACAUUUUGCUACGGGAAUCAGCUCCCUUUUGCCUUAGAGUUUCUGUUUUACCUGUAGUGACAAGUAUCCCACUCUAUUUUUUUUUUUUUUUUUGAGACGGAGUCUCGCUCUGUUGCCCAGGCUGGAGUGCAGUGGUGUGAUCUUGGCUCACUGCAACCUCUGCCUCCUGGGUUUAAGCAAUUCUCCUGCCUUAGCUUCCCAAGUACCUGGGAUUACAGGCACACACUACCACACCCGGCUAAUUUUGUAUUUUAAGUAGAGCCAUGUUGGACACACUGGUCUCAAACUCCUGACCUCAAGUGAUCUACCCACCUCGGCCUCCCAAAGUGCUGGAAUUACAGAUGUGAGCCACUGUGUCUGGCCUAUCGCACUAUAUUUUAAAAUUUGGUCUAAAGGAGUUGAUGAUGAGUUUCUUUUAGCCUUUUAUUUUUUGUCUGUUGGUUUUUGAAUGUAUUUGUUAUCAGUAUCUGGAGUUUGAAAAAGAAAGAACCUCAUUUUAUGAGCUCUGUAGUGGGAGGGCUGCUUGCUAUCACUGGAUUUUCUCCCAUGGCCUAGUACUACCAUAUCUGCUUCUAGAGUGUGCUCAGCAAAUAGUGGUUUUUGAUUACUCAAAGCAAAACUGAGAAGCCAUUUAACAGGCUGGGAAAUAAUUUCUUCAGCACUGAAGAAUAUAUCCAUAGGCUGGGCACAGUGGCUGACACCUGUAGUCCCAACACUUUGAGAGGCUGAGGCUGGAGGAUCGCUUGACUGCAGGAGUUCGAGACCAGCCUGGGCAAUAAAGCAGACUCUAUCUCUACCAAAAAAAAAAAAAAAAAAAAAAAUAGCUGAGUGUGGUGGCAUGCGCCUUGUAGUCCCAGCUACUUGGGAGGCUGAGGCGGGAAGACUGAGGCUGCAGUGAGCCAUGAUGAUUGAGCCCCAGAGGCUGAGGCUGCAGUGAGCUGUGAUGGCGCCCCUGCACUCCAGGCUGGUGACAAGAGUGAGACUCUGUCUCUGUUUAAAAGAGAAAAAAAAGGUUAGGUGCAGUGGCUCAUGCCUGUAAUCCCAACACUUUGGGAGGCCAAUGAGGGUGGAUCACCUGAUGUCAGGAGUUCGAGGCCAGCCUGGCCAACAUGGUGAAACCCUGUCUUUACUAAAAAUACAAAAUUAGCCAGGUGUGGUGGUGAGCGACUGUAAUCCCAGCUAUUUAGGAGGCUGAGGCAGGAGAAUCACUUGAACCCUGGAGGUGGAGGUUGCAGUGAGCGAAGAUCACACCACUGCCCUCCAGCCUGGGCGACAGAGCAAGACUCCAUCUCAAAAAAAAAAAAAAAAAUAUAUAUAUAUAUGUGUGUGUGUGUGUGUGUGUGUAUAUGUGUGUGUGUAUAUAUACAUGUGUGUGUAUGUUAUAUAUAUACACACACACACACAUAUAUAUCCAUAAGUCAGAGCUGAAGUUCUGGUGAGCACUUCUUGGAGUUCUGUGACAAGCCCCUCCACUGGUGGUCUAACUCCUGCCUUCCUCGCUUGAGUCAUCUCGAGACAGUCACUCCAACAUGCCUUACUCUUUCAGUUCCUUGAAUUCCCUGAACUCCCGUUGUUCUGGACCUUUGGAUCUGUCUUUCCCCUGCCUGGAAAUUCUCCUCCCCUUUUCCUUCAGGUCACAGUGAAAUCAUUUGGCUCAGAGUGGCUUCUAAUCCUCUGUGAGGCUAGGACUUUACCCUUUUCCGUGCUCAUGCUCUCGGGCUUUCCUGUAACCUCUCCUUUCUCGUCUCCUUUCCCCCUCUAGCCUGGAAGAGCAGGAACUGUGUCUCCUUCACUUUCCCCAGCACCUAUCUCAGAGCCGGGCCCGCAGUAGGGGCUCAUGCAUUUGUUGGCUGGCGUUAACGUGAACCAGCACGUCGGCUGUGGAUGAAUAACUUUCCAGGUCCCAAAAUUGUCCACUUGCUUCUCUUUCACCGUUGGGCUGAGAACGUAGCUACUAAUAAACCCGGAGUGGGAGGGGGUAUCAGUAACAGAGACAAGUGUGUGAUUGAAAUGGAAGACAGCUGGAGAGAAGAGAACAGAAAUAGGCAGGACGUGCACGGCCAGCAGGAAGUUGCUGUGAUUCCCGCAAAGCAUGUCUUUUCAUUCGUGAAGAGGGGUCCCUAAGAUGAGAGUUCCAUGGAGACUUUCCCUAAGGGCUCACUAUGCCUUAUUCUCUGAUAUGUUGAGCCUUCGGGGGUUGGCUGUAAAUAGAGACUGAACUUUGACUUAGAAGAAAAAGGGGAGAGAAGAACAUGUUGUAUCUCUUUGUGUAAAUGGUUACUACUCGCUCCCCAAACAAGCUACUUUAAUAGGGGCAUCACACAAAUUAUAGAAUACAGGUCUCUCAUCCAGCCAGCCAUGAUGGUGCGCACCUAUGGUUCCAGCUGCUUGGAAGGCUGAGGUGGGAGGUCCUUUGAGCCCAGGAGUUCAAGGUUCAAGUCCAGCCUAGUUAACAUAGCAAGACUCUCUAAAACAAAACAACAAAACAAAAACAAUCUAAUCUUAGGAUUAGAAAGGACAAGGACACCAGAUGUCAUCAAGUCCCAUCCUUUGACCUCUGUAGGAAUUCCCUGUGCAUAUUUCUGGUAAGAAUUCACUAAUCCACUAGUUGUCAGUUCUCCACUUCACUAACUUAUGGGGCAGCCUAGUUCCAUAUUUGCAGGGUUCUAGUUGUUGAAAAAGUCCAUGUAGCCCAGUACAUUGUAUGUAGUGGUGGUUUAUUGAAUGAGAUACAUGAACACAGACAACAUUUAUAAUCGAGACUUUAGAAAUUAUUUUCAAGUACUGUUGUAUUGUUUUAAAAAUAGAAUACGGUGAGAAGAUUGUCUUAAAUGUUUGACAUAGUGUCUCCAGCUUUCAGAUCAUACCAGAUACAUAUUCAAUUUAUCACCUGGGCAAGUAAAAAAUUAAAAAGACAAUAAAGCCUGUCUUGUUAUAUACUUAGAGCCAAUUACUCAAUAUUUACCAAAUAGCCCACCAAAUGUCUCAUAAGCAUUUUUUGAGUGUGUUCAGUCUUGAGAUUGAACUUUCAGAACGGGCCUCCCUUGCUCAUCCUGGGCUCAUGAUGAUCCGCUUCAGCAUUUACACAAGGAGAGCAAGGGAACAGCACAGAUCAAUGGAAAGGAGACAGCAGAUUAUUUUCCAGUUCUAUCCCUGCUACUAACUAGUGGUGAGAUCUUAGGUAAGUUGCUAGACACUGCUGGAUCUUAGUUUCCUCCUCUGUAGACUACGGUGAUUAAACCAGGUGGCCUUCAAGGUUCAGUACCACUGUAACCCUCUGUGGCUCUAAAACUUUACAUUUUCCUCCUAAAGACAAAAGCUUCAUGAGUGAAUUUAACUCUCAUCCCAUUGAAUAACUGAUCAGUAGCAACAAUGUGCUCCUACUAAAUAUAGAAGGUGAAGUUAAAUAUGGAAUAUAGCUGUCCACAUCCCCUGAAUUCGCAGAAACUUAGGUUAAUAGUUGGCUACAUCACUCAGAUCAUAAUCUCUCCAUGGCACAUCAUUUCUGCCUUCAUAGUUGGCUAAAAUACCUGGAUGUCAGCUGAAUCUAGACUUUUUUAAUGAUUCUAUUUUUAAACUACAGUCAUGAGACCACAUAAUCCUAGUGGGGUAAAUGCCAGAGGAAGAAAAAAAAAAAAAAGAAACAGAAAACAAAACCAAAAAACUGUAAAGAAAUCUGAAGUGGUUUUCCAUAAUUCUCUUUUUAGAAUAAUUUUUUCUCUGAUAUGAUAUUUUCUGAUAGUAAGGUAUGAUUAUUAUGAAAUCAUAAUGUAUUUAGUAGAAAAAUAAAUUACAUUAUUUCAUUAGGAGCUAAGGUUUUCAGUGCAAGAAAAAUAUAAAUAUCAAAUCAAAGAAGUUAAAUAAAAACCUUCUAUCCUAAGUUUGAAUUGGAAAUAUUAAUAAGAACACAUGAUGUGUUUUAUGGUAAAAUACACUAUUCUUAGCUCUGUCUGUUGAAAAGGCCUAGAUACCUUGACUAAGAGUAGCUAAGUGUGUCCUUAGCACCCAGGCCGUUUUCUUUCUUCAUUUUUUUUUUUGAGACAGGGUCUCACUCUGUCACCCAGGGUGGAGUGCAGUGGCGUGAUCUUGGCUCACUGAAACCUCCACCUCUGGGGUUCAAAUGAUCCUCCCACCUCAACCUCCCAAGUAGCUGGGAUUACAAGUGUAUGCCACCAUACCUGGCUAAUUUUUGUAUUUUUAGUAGAGAUGGGGUUUCACCAUGUUAGCCAGGCUGGCCUCAAACUCGUGACCUCAAGCAAUCUGCCCACCUCAGCCUCCCAAAGUGUUGGGAUUAAAGGCAUGAGCCACAUAUCUGGCCUGGCCUAAUGCACUCUAAAUACCAUUUCUGGUUAAAGUGAACAGGGUUCUUUGGAGAAAUGGUCGAUUCAACAUCAGGGAUAAGUUUGGAACAUCUUGUCAUAUCAGCCAGCAAAGAAACUGUCAAAGACGGUAAAAGCAUGCCAAAAAGACUUAGGAACCAGAGCCUAUUGGCCAGAGGUAAGACAAUUACCAAAACAAACAAACAAACAAACAAACAAACAAAAACAGGAAGAAUCCAGAAUCUAAUCAGGACCUAACUACUAACUACAAACUUAUAGGAAAUACACUCUAGGAUAGUAAAUUUUGUGUGUCAACUUGACUGGGCCAUGGUGUGCCCAGAUAUUUGGUCAGACAUUAUUCUGGAUGUUUCUGUGAGGGCGUUUUUAGAUGAGAUUAAUAUUUAAAUUGGUAGACUAAGUAAAGCAGAUUCCUCCCUUUUUGGAUCAUUGUAGACCUCAUCCUACAGUUGAAGGCCUGAAUAGAACAAAAAGGUUGACCCACCCUAACUAAGAGAGAAUUCUUCCCAUCUGACAGCCUUCCAGAGGGAGCAUCAACGUUUUUCCUGUCUUUGAACCAGAACUGAAACAUCAGCUCUUCCUGAGUUUUGAGCCUGCUGGCCUGUGGACUGAACCACACCAUCAGCUCUGCUGUUUCUCAGUUUUUCAGAUUACACUCUCUUGGGGCUCCAGGUGGUUGGCUGCAGAUCUUGGGACCUGUUUGCCUCCAUAAUUAUGUGACCCAAUUCUUUGUAAUAAAUCCUUCUUUCUCUCUCUUUCUUCUAUUGAUUCUGUUUCUCUGGAGAAACUUGGCUAAGCCACACCUCCACAGGGAUAAAAUCAACAAAAAGCAGAGUAUAGGACAUUUUAUAGGCCAACAGAAAGUAUUACUCAUCAACAAAUAAAUUGCCCCCCCCAAAAAAAACAAUAGAGGGAGGGGUAAUUUAUAGAUUAAAAGAUAUUUAAAAGGCAUAUUCACCAAAUGCAAUGGAAGAGCCUUAGUUUGGAUUCCUAUUUGAACAAACCAAGUUUUAAAAAAAGUAUGAGACUAUCAGGGAUAUUUGGAACAUUUCCUGGAUACUUGAUGAUGUUAUGGAAAUAUUGUUGAUUUUUUUUGGAUGCAAUGACAUUUACAGGGCUAUGCUUUUAAAAGUCCUUAAAUUUUAGAGAUAUAUACUGGAAUAUUUAUGAAUAAAAUAAUUUCAGUAUCUGGAAUCUGCUUCAAAAUAAUUCAUCAAGAGUAGGAGUAUGGGUUAAAAGUAGAGGGGGUGGCUGGGCGCGGUGGCUCACACCUGUAAUCCCAGCACUUUGGGAGGCUGAGGUGGGCAGAUCAUGAAGUCAGGAGAUCAAAACCAUCCUGGCUAACAUGGUGAAACCCCAUCUCUGCUAAAAAUACAAAAAAAAAAAACGGGCAUGGUGGCAGGCGCCUGUAGUCCUAGCUACUCGGGAGGCUGAGGCAGGAGAAUGGCAUGAACCAAGGAGAUGGAGCUUGCAGUGAGCCGAGAUCAUGCCACUGCACUCCAGCCUGGGAGACAGAGCGAGACUCUGUCUCAAAAAAAAAAAAAAAAAAGUAGAGGGGGUAUAGAGGAAACAAAACUGGUCAUGUGUUGAUAAUUGUUGAAGAAUACAAGAUCAGAAUAUGGGGGAUUAUUAUACUAUUUUCUCUACUUUUGUACAUUAUUUCUAUACUAAAAUUUUUACAAGUAAAUGCUUUAUUUUUUUUGCCUACCUUGACGUUAAACUUAUAUUUUUAAGGCAUCAAUGACAAGUUAUUCCUUUCUUGUCUAUUACAGAUAUAUUUCCACUUGCCUCCUAAGCUGUAUGAUUUUUUUUUCAUUUGCUUCCUAAACUAUAUGAUUUCAGUUCUCCUUUAUCUCAUGAGGAGGGUUCCCAUUUACUUUGUCAUAUAUAUUUACAUGUAGUGAUUUGUUAAAUUAUUAUUUCAAAAUUAUUACUGAAAUGCACAUUCUCUGGUUCAAGCUCCAAUGGGUUCUCACUGCCUUGUUAUAAAGCCAGGCAGCCUCACUUUAACAGUCAAAGCCUAUCAUCAUCAAGCUCUACCCAACACAUCAGACAAGCGCUUCCAAAAAAUAGAAGAGAGGAAACACUUCUCAAUCCAUUUUAUGAGACCAAUAUUACCCCAACACCAAAAGCAGACAACAACAUCAAAAAAAAGAAAGAAAAAGAAAACUACAGACUAAUAUCCACAUUUUAGUGAAUAGUAAAAUCCUCAAUAAAGUAAUAGCAAACCGAAUCCAGACACAUAUAAAAAGAAUUUUACACUUGAAAAUGGUUCAAAUGGCAAAUUUUAUGUUAUAUAUAUUUUACCACUAUUUUUAAUAGUAAAGUAAAUAAAUAGUGGUAAAAUAUAUAUAACAUAAAAAUAUUUUUAAAAUAGUAAAAUAAAUAAAUAAACAUAAACAUACACCAUGACUAAAUGGGAUUUAUCUCAGGGAUUCCAGGUUGGUUUAAUAUUAGAAAAUCAAUUAAUGGAAUACAUUAUAUUGAUAGAAUAAACAGAAAAUCACACAAUCAUCUCAGUAGACACAGAAAAUACAUUUGACAAAAUCCAAGUUCAUUAACUCCCAGAUAAACAGCACCUAUUCUAGAGGAUCUCUAAACAUAAUGAGAUGACAGUAGCGAAGAAAGACUCUGAGUAUCGAAGGUGAAUGGAUCUCAGAGAUUGCCACAGGAAAAGAUAUCUUUUUGAAUCUAGUGGAGAAAAUCUUUGUAAAUCUACUUUUAUCAUAAACAAUGCCAGCAUGAAUGACUUAUCCAAGAUCUAAGAGGAGUGUAGAAUGAAAACUCUUAAAUGAUAGGAAGUGUGUGUAUUUCUCCUUUGCCGCUGGCAUGGUUAUUCACCUGCCAGGUGGCCAGUGAGUAUUUUUGUAGUGAAUGGCUUGGAGUUUUAGGGCAAGUACUCUAGACUUAAACUUAACUUUCCUGGCUGUGUGAUUGUAAGCAAAUUACUUAACCUUAAAGUCUCAGCAUUUUGCUUAUUGUUUCAUCUCUAAAGUUAAGAUAAUAAUUCUACUACCAUAAGUGAGGGUUUUAAAACACAGUAUCAGCGGGGCAUGGUACACCUGUGAUAUGGUUUGGCUCUGUGUCCCCACCCAAAUCUCAAGUUGAAUUGUACUGCCAUAAUUCCCACGUGUUGUGGGAGGGACCCAGUGGGAGAUAAUUGAAUCAUGGGGGCGGUUUUCCCCAUACUGUUUUAAUGGUUGUGAAUAGGUCUCACAAGAUCUGAUGGUUUAAUAAGGGGCUUCUACUUUCGCUUCUGCCUCAUUCUCUCUUUCUGCCACCAAAAGGCAAAAGUGUCUUUUGCCUUCUGCCAUGAUUGUGAGGCCUCCCCAGUCACGUAGAACUGUGAGUCCAUUAAAUUUAUUUUCUUCCCAGUCUCAGGUAUGCCUUUAUCAGCAGUGUGAAAAUGGACUAAUACAACCUGUUACCCUAGCACUUUGGGAGGCCAAGGUAGGCGGAUGACUUGAGGUCAGGAGUUUGAGACCAGCCUGGGCAACAUGGUGAAACAUCAUCUCUACAAAAAAUACAAAAAUUAGCCAUGUGCUGCACACCUGUAAUUCCAGCUACUUGGGAGGCUGAGGCGGGAGGAUCACUUGAGCCUGGGAGGCAGAGGUUGCACUGAGCCAAGAUCACGCCACUGCACUCUAGCCUGGGUGACAGAGUGAGGCCCUGUCUCAAAAAAAAAAGCAAAAACACAGUAUCUUUGAAAUGUGCAGCACUGCAGCAUGGCGUCUGGGACAUGUACACCCUUGUCAUCAUGAACAACAUCCAAGACCAUAAAAAUCACGGGUCUCCAGCCAUCCCAUUACUGGGUAUACACCAAAGGAAUAUCAAUCAUGCUGCUAUAAAGACACAUGCACAUGUAUGUUUAUUGCGGCACUACUCACAAUAGCAAAGACUUGGAACCAACCCAAAUGUCCAACAAUCAUAGACUGGAUUAAGAAAGUGUGGCACAUAUACACCAUGGAAUACUAUGCAGCUAUAAAAAAUGAUGAGUUCAUGUCCUUUUUAGGGACAUGGAUGAAGCUGGAAACCAUCAUUCUCAGCAAACUAUCGCAAGGACAAAAAACCAAACACCGCAUGUUCUCACUCAUAGGUGGGAAUUGAACAAUGAGAACACUUGGACAAGGAAGGGGAGCAUCACACACCGGGGCCUGUUGUGGGGUGGGGGAAGGCGGGAGGGAUAGCAUUAGGAGAUAAACCUAAUGUAAAUGACGAGUUAAUGGGUGCAGCACACCAGCAUGGCACAUGUAUACAUAUGUAACAAACCUGCACGUUGUGCACAUGUACCCUAGAACUUAAAAUAUAAUAAAUAUAUAUAUAUAUAUUUAAAAAAAAUCAUGGGUCUGUCUUGGGACUAUUAGGCUUGCCAGUUGUAUACAUAAAUGUUAGAUUAGACAGCUUCAUAAUACCAAGUUAAAAAUGACUAAUGUCCUUGUGUAAUGAAUAAACUUGCUCCAAUAACCUUGAAAAUGAAAGAAAAGUUUGAUCACAGAGUGAAAUUUAAUUCAGACAAUUUCAGCAGCUGUGUAUUUCAGAUAAACCCAUAAAUGGCACAAAGAAAUGAUAGCCCUAGCUGAGUUGUCCAAAAAAGAGGGUUUGGACAACUCUUUUUGUCCAAAGACAAAAAGAGGCAAGUCCUUAGCCUGUGUAUUGGGUCACUGCCAAGAGAUGAUGUUGUCCAUGUGGAGGCAGAGAGUGAACUUCCUUCAGUUCUGACUGACUGCUGUAAAUAGUGUCACAUGGCUAAACCUGUGUAAGUAGUUUCAAAACCUGCUUUAAAGUAUAGUUAAGGCCAGGCUCAGUGGCUCAUGCCUGUAAUUCCAGCACUUUGGGAGCCUGAAGUGGGAGUAUUGCUUGAUUCCAGGAGUUCAAGACCAGCCUGAGCAGCAUGGCGAAAACCCAUCUCUACAAAAAAUACAAAAAUUAGCCAGAUGUGGUGGCACAUGCCUGUAGACCCAGCCACUCAAAAGGCUCAGGUGGGAGGAUCACCUGAGCCCAGGAGGCCCAGGCUACAGUGAGCCAUGAUCAUGCUACUUAACUCCAGUCUGGGUAAAGGAGGGAGACUCUGUCUCAAAAAAAAAAAAAAAAAAAAGGCAAAUAUAUAUAUAUAUAUAUAUAUAUAUAUAUAUAUAUAUAUUAAGCAUUUGCACUUUUGACUCAACUAUAUGUAUAUAUACAGAAAUAUAUAUACAUACAUAUAUAUGUGUAUAGAUAGAUAGAUGAUAGAUAGGUAGAUAGUUAGAUAUUGAUAGUUAAGAGUCAAACUCAAAUGCUCUUAUGGGCAAAACAAUGGAGAGAAAACCUUAAGGAUAUUAUUAUAGAGAGAUGUGGGUCCCUGGUUAGAGGGCUUGCCCUGUCGACAAGGAUUUACAUGAGAAACAUUUCAGAAGCACCAACAUAGCAAACACAAAGGCUCUGAAGGCCUCAGUCCUUGGCAAGCAGCUUACAGCCACUGAUUAGGGGAACAAGGCAUAAAUUAGGCAUUACUCUUUUGUAUCCCUGAGCCCGUAGAUUGUUUUUCUUCUUCCAAUCAGAUAAGAACCUUGCAGAAACUGGACUGUUAGUAGUGGAAUUAUAGCAUCACAGUAUCUUUUGAGUCGUUUAUAUUUUCCCCAUUUCUGGUUGCUUCCAGUUCCCUUUAUAAAUUCUUCCUUUCCUUUUUUCUACCUAAAACUCAGCUGUUAUUUAGAAUGAGGUGGAACUUGGCUACCAUUUCUGUUUUUUGUCUUCUUCUCCAAAUACUUAAUGCCUCAAACAGGUUUGUGUGUUCUGGCCUAAAAACUAACUCCUCUGCCAAGUGGUCCCCAGGCCCUGACUCCUUUUUCCUCACUUCCAGCAUCUGAGAGACUCCCAACCACCCUUGUAAAGGGAACCGUGUGAUAGGGCUGUGCCCACCCUAGGUCCUGCCCACAUGUUUAUUCUGGGCCUCUUGGCUUCCUUUGAUACCCAAGUCUUUGUCCUUAUGAAAGUUAUUUACUUCUGAAAAAUGUUUACAGAAUGAUGACAUGAAGUCAAUAUUGGUUUUAAUAAAUUUAAAUAACUUUCCUUACAGGCAGAAUGAACAAAAUAAGUAAAAGUGGCUAUAAAGAUUAUAAUCUGAAUGUGAUUUAGCAAUGUAGUAUUGAAAGGCAAUGUUUAAAAAGGUAAAAUCAUAAUUCAUACAAAUACAAAUGACCAUCGUUAACUCAUGAGUUAUUUAUUAUUAAUUAUGAUUAAUUAAUGCAGGACUCAGUGAGGUAUUACAGCUGGAUUUUACAGGCUUUACCCAACAAAAUUCUUCAAUAGGGUUUAAGUACUACUGCAUGUAAAGUGUUUAUUUUUAUUUUUGAGACAGGGUCUCACUCUGCCACCCAGGCUGGAGUGCAAUGGCACUGUCAUAACUCACUGCAGCUUUCACCUCCUGGGCUCAAGUGAUCUUCCCACCUCAGCCUCCUGAGGAGCUGGAACUACAGAUGGCACCAUUGUGCUUGGCUAAUUUUUUUUUUUUACUUUUUGUAGACAUGGGGUCUUGCUAUGUUGCCCAGGUUGGUCUUGAACUCCUAGCCUCAAGUGAUCUUCCUGCAUUGGCCUCCCAAAGUAUUAGGAUUACAGGCAUGAGCCACUGUGCAUGAUCAAGUGUUUCAUUAAGAACAAGUUCUGCUGUUCUGUGUCUCACAGAAGUGCACAGGUAAAGCAUUUGCACUUGUGGGAUCAAGUGGUAGCUUUGAUUUAUAAAGCAGAACUGUCAUCAGGAAUUUGGUUGAGGAAGCUGAAGUUGUUUUAUCUCAAAGUUGUUUUCCUGGAAUAAUUCAGUUCUCCAAGGGAACUCUGGGAUUCACAAAUCAUGACGAGGUCAGGAAAACAGUCAUGCUAAUGAAAAUGGGGUCUGGUAUAGGACAGGGGAAAGACCAAUAACUUCUUUCUCUAAAGUAGGAUGCUGGAGACACCACCAUAGAACAAAAAAAGUCAAAUAACUUGAGGACAGGAGUGAACAGGAAUCAAAGGCAAAGGAAAAAGGUAAAGUGACUUUUAGCAUAAAUAAAGGCCUCAAGAAGUAUCUGUUCUUUCCUCUCCUGAAUGACUCCAUUAUGAGGGAUAGAAAUCAAAGAGCAAUAGAAUGGGGUGGAGUAGAAGUACUAGAGUGUUCUAGCUGAGCUCCACUCAAGGUCACACUAUUAUUUAAGAACACAGAAUGCAAGGCUGGGCAUGGUGGCUCACAUCUGUAAUCCCAGCACUUUAGGAGGCUGAGGUGGGAGGAUUGCUUUGGAGUUUGAGACCGGCCUGGGCAACAUAGGGAGACUGUGUCUCUAAAAAAUAAUUUUUUCUUCUUUUGAGACAGAGUCUCGCUGUGUCACCCAGGCUGGAGUGCAGUGAGCUGAUCUCGGCUCACUGCAACCUCCACCUCCCUGAUUCAAGCAAUUCCCCUGCCUCAGCCUCUGGAGUAGCUGGGAUUACAGGUGUGCACCACCCACAUCCAGCUAACUUUUUUGUAUUUUUAGUAGAGAUGGGGUUUCACCAUGUUGGCCAGACUGGUUUUGAACCCCUGACCUCAGGCAAUCCGCCGGCCUCAGCCUCCCAAAAUGCUGAGAUUACAGGUGUGAGCCACCGCACCCAGCUAAAAAUUAAAAUUUUAGCUGAGUGCGGUGGUAUGUGCCUGUAAUCACAGCUACUCCAGAGGAGAGAGGCUCAGGUGGGAGGAUUGCUUGAACCCAGGAGGUUGAGGCUGCAGUGAGCCAUUGAUAUGGUUUGGCUGUGUCCUCACCCAAUAUCUCAUCUUGAAUUGUAAUCCCCAUAAUCCUCGUAAAAUCUUCACAUGUCACGGCAAAGAUCAGGUAGAGAUAAUUGAAUCAUGGGGGUGGUUUUCCCCACGCUGUUCUUGUGGCAUUGAGUGAGUUUUCAUGAGAUCUAAUGGUUUUAUAAGGGGCUCUUUCCUUUUUGCCAUGUGAAGAAGGUGGCUUUUUCGCCUUCUACCAUGAUUGUAAGUUUGCUGAGGCCUUCCCAGCCACAGGAACCAUGAGUCAAUUAAACAUCUUCCCUUUAUAAAUUACCCAGUCUCAGGUAUUUCCUUAUAGCAAUGUGAGAAUGGACUAAUACAGUCAAUUGGUACCACAGAGAGUAUGUUGCUGCUAUAAAGAUACCUGUAAAUGUGGAAGCAACUUUGGAACUGGGUAACAGGCAGAGGUUGGAAGAGUUUGGAAGGUUCAAAAGAAGACAGGAAGAUGUGGAAAAGUUUGAAAGUUUCUAGAGACUUGUUGAAUGACUUUGACCAAAAUACUGAUAGUGAUAUUGACAAUGAAGUCCAGGCUGAGGUGGUCUCAGAUGGAGAUGAGGAUCUUUUUGGGAACUGGAAUAAAGGUGACUCUUGCUGUGCUUUAGCAAAGAGACUGGAAGCACUUUGCCCCUGCCCUAGAGAUCUGUGGAAAUUUGAACUUGAGAGAGAUGAUUUAGGGUAUCUGGCAGAAGAAAUUUCUAAGAAGCAAAGUGUUCAAGAGGUAACUUGGGUGCUCUUGAAAGCAUUCAGUUGUAUGCAUUCACAAAGAGAUGAUUUGGAAUUGUAACUUAUAUUUAAAUGGGAAGCAGAGCAUAAAGUUUAGAAAAUUUGCAGCCUGACAAUGCAAUAUAAAAGAAAACCCCAUUUUCUGGGGAGAAAUUCAAGCAGGCUGGAAAAAUUUGCAUAAGUAAUGAGGAACCAAAUGUUAGUCACCAAGACAAUGGAGAAGAUGUCUCCAGGGCAUGUCAGAGGUCUUCAUGGCUGCCCCUUCCAUCACAGGCCUGGAGGCCUAGGAGGAAAAACUGGUUUCAUGGGCCAGAUCCAGGGUCUUGCUACUUUGUCCAGUCUCAGGACUUGGUGCCCUGCAUCCUAGCCAUGGCUAAAAUGGGCCAAUGUACAGCGCAGACCAUUGUUUCAGAGGGUGCAAGUCCCAAGCCUUGGCAGUUUACACAUUGUGUUGGGCCUUCAGGUGCACAGAAGUUAAUAAUUGAGGUUUGAGAACCUCUGCCUAGAUUUCAGAGGAUGUAUGGAAAUGCCCAGAUGUCCAGGAAGAAGUUUGUGGCAGGGGUGGAGCCCUCAUGGAGAACCUCUGGUAGGGUAGUGUGGAAGGGAAAGGUGGGGUCAGAGCCCCCACACAGAGUCCCUACUAGGGCAUAGCCUAGUGGAGCUGUGAGAAGAGGGCCACUGUCCUCCAGACCCCAUAAUGGUAGAUCUACUGACGGCUUACACCAUGCACCUGGAAAAGUUGCAGACACUCAACGCCAGCCUGUGAAAGCAGCCAGGAGUGGGGUUGUACCCUGCAAUGCCACAGGAACAGAGCUGUCCAAGGCCAUGGGAGACCACCUCUUGCAUCAGUGUGACCUGGAUGUAGGACAUGGCGUCAAAGGAGAUAUUUUGGAGCUCUAAGAUUUAAUGACUGCCCCACUGAAUUUGGACUUGCAUGGGGUCUGUAGCCCCUUUGUUUUGGCCAAUUUCUCCCAUUUGUAACAGGUGUAUUUACCCAGUGCUGUACUCCCAUUGCAUCUCAGAAGUAACUAACUUGCUUUUGAUUUUACAGGCUCAUAGGUGGAAGGUACUUGACUUGUUUCAGAUGAGACUUUGGAUUUGGACUUUUGGGUUAAUACUGGAAUGAGUUAAGAAUUUGGGGGACAAUUGGAAAGGCAUGAUUAUGUUUUGAAAUGUGAGGACAUGAGAUUUGGGAGGGGCUGGGGCAGAAUGAUGUGGUUUGGCUGUGUCCCCACCCAAAAUCUCAUCUUGAAUUGUGAUCCCCAUAAUCCCCAUAAUCCCUGUGUGUCAAGGGAGAGACCAGGUGGAGGUAAUUGAAUCAUGGGAGCAGUUUCCCCCAUGCUCUUCUGGUAAUAGUGAGUUUUCACAAGAUCUGAUAGUUUUAUAAGAGGUUCUUCCCCCUUCACUCAUCACUUCUCCUUCCUGCUGCCUGUGAAGAAGGUGGCUUGCUUCCCCUUCACCUUCCACCAUGACUGUAAGUUUCCUGAGGCCUUUCCAGCCAUGCAGAAGCAUGAGUUGAUUAAACCUCUUUCCUUUAUAAAUUACCCAGUCUCAAGUAUUUCCUUAUAGCAAUGUGAAAAUGAACUAAUACAGCCAUGAUCACCACUGCACUCCAGCCUGGGUCACAGAGCAACACUUUGUCUCAAAAAACAAAACAACAAGAACAACAAAAACACGGAGGCUAUUUCUCUACCUCUUGACUCUGUGUUUGGCCAUAUGACUUGCUUUGACCAAUGGGAUGUCAUAGACAUGAUACAAUCAGAGGUCUACACAACCACUCAUGUAAUUGAGCUUGUUUUGCUGUGUUUUUGCCAUGAAAAGUAUAUGCUCAGGCAAGCCUACUGUUCUAGGAGGUAGACAGGUAGAGCAGAACCAAGUCACCCCAGCCAACCUCAUCUAAGGUCAGCCAACCCCCAUUAGACCCCAGGUGCAUAAGUUGAGUCCAGUUGAGAUCAGCAAAGUCCAGCCUAGAUUAGCUGAACUUCACAGGUACAAGAAAUGAAUGUUCAUUAUUGUUGUUGACCAUGAGGAUCUGUGGUUGUUGGUUACAUAGCAAUUUUCUGACAAUAGCUAACUCACAGGUUGACUUAUUUUCAACAUACCCUAAUGAGAUGACAGAGAUUGCUGCAGAUAUGCCCAGUGCAGUUUUGGCUUCCUAGAGGGUCUUCAAGAGAGUACACCCUAGAAAAAGGGCAGAAACCAUCACUAUAUACCCAGGCUGCCUCUUCUGUUUGGAAGAGAUUCUUAUUUGAAAACCAUUCAUAUGCCAGGCUAGUGGCAUCCCCAGCGAAACUGAGGGUCAGAAAAUAAUAUCUGAUAACUGGGAAGAACUAAGGUCAUUUCUAGUUGCAGAGUAUCUGAAACUCGAGUAGGAAACUAGAGAAUGGAACAAAUAGUGGUAGCAACAGGGAAUCCCCCUACAUCAGUAUGUGAUUCACCAAGUACAAGGUCAAACAGAUAACCACAACUGCUCUGUCAGUUCCCAAGACUGCACAGAACACAGAGCCCCAGCACCUUGCUUUGGUCCUCCCUGAGUUUCUACACACCUGGCUUCUCAACGAAAGAGGAUCCAUUUGCAUACGAAACAAACUCUGCAAUGUAGAAGAUGGCUGUUUGAUCUGAAGCAGAUUUUGUAAGCUUGUGCAAUGGAUGCAAUUUAGUCUGUGAGGCGCGAGGAAAGCUGUGCGGUGGAGACAGCCAGAUGGGCAAUGAGCAGGGAGAGGAGCUAUGAACCUUGUGAGAGAUAAACCUGAACCUUUUCUACACUACAUGUUCACCAGGAGAAAAUCAGAUAAGUAUGAAGUCUUAAAGGAGUAGGGGACAGCAAAAUCCAUGCCUUGCUGUCCCACAGUCCAAACACCACCAAGGGCUCUGGCAUCUAUGCUGUAUUAACUCUGUUUUCUUGUUUUCUGUAUUCUCCAUGCUCUGGCACUUGGGGCCUUGCUGACUUGGGGGAAACUGCUCCUCCAACCCGAGGGCUAGCCAGUUAUUACAGAUAGCAAAUGACCCCCCACAAGCACAUCUUUCAUAAGCAAACCAACCAGCCCAAAGACCACACCCCCAACUACCUCCUUUCCCAAGUGUUUACCCAUUAAGCAGAUAUUUCCCUGCCCUAAUCACCCCAGGGUGGCAACCAGACAACUUGGGGCUCCUACACUCCAAAGCCUGCUGAAAGUAUUAAAAUGAGCCAAUCCUAAACCUGCUUAGUUUUCCCAGCCUGGCUUAUUCCUUCCCACAAAAAUCACAAGGACUCAGGAACAUGGUUUCCCACCCAGCUCCUGAAUGACCGUGGUUCUUCCCUGCGUGGUCUCGCGUGCCAUGCCAUGUCUCCCGCUUCUCGGGAUCGACGAGUAUAAAACUUCUUUCCUGACAGUUAUUUCCAUGUCUGUGCAUCUUACCACACCCGAUUAAAACAAAUCCCCAGUUCAUUUUAAACACAGGUUAGUCUACGUCAUACAAUAAGAUUCUUUUCCUUGACCUUCCCCACCAGCUUUUGAAGCAUGUAACUAGACAUCAUCAUUGUCAACAACAUCAUUAUCAUCGUUAUCCUACAGCUAAGAAAGGGAAACAAGGGCAAAUGCCAGGGAUUCACCUAAGGUCCACAAAACAUGGCCAAGCUGGGACUUAAACACAAAUUUGGGAGCUAGCACCAAAUGCUGGCCAUUUCCCCAAAAAGAUUUGCAGAAGCCCAUAGGAAGUUAGAAAUAUGGUCCCCAGUGAACCUCAGCUGCUUUAUAUAUAAAAUGGAGACUUUAGAGUAUCAGUCUUCUGGAGAACUAUGACAAUGUAUGUGAAAGCACUUCGUAAAACACACUGUAUACAUUCAUUUAAAAACCAGUGACCUUAUGCUACAUGGUUAAAGUCAUCAAUGAAUAACAUGACGGCUAACUUAUGAUUGUGACAGCUGCUCAUGAUGUAAAGCGUUUUACAUUAUCAUUUCAUUUAACCCUGACAACAACCCUAUGAGUUGAUUCGUAUUAUUACCUCCAUUUGCAAAUGAGAAGAUUGAGUCUAUGAGAAGUUAAGUAAUGUGCUCGAGUUUGCAUCGUUAGCUCUAUGUGGAGCUAUGAUUCAAACCCAUAUAUUAAACUGUCUGUCCCAAAGUUUUUCCCUGCCCUCAGAACUAAGAAUACUCAAGUAAACAUUUGCUCUUUUUGGCUGCCCGGCAUACCAAACACACCCUGAGCUUGUAGGAGCCCUGCCUUCCCCUGUGGAGCCCAAAGGGGGCCUUUUCUCCCCAUUCCAAGCUAUUAGAACGUGUGAUUGACUCAAGGAAUAGAUCCACAUCUUUAAUGAGUAACUGACAUCGAAAUGCAAGGUGGUCUUGCCUUAUACAAAAUAGCAAAUCCUAAGUGCAAACUAUAGUCCAAUAUCCUUCACAUCAUGAGCACAAUAUCCUUUACAUCAUGAAAAAUAUGACAAGACACGCAGCAAAGGAGCAAAGGCAUGCUUCUAUCAGGCUUUGCAUUCUAAGAGGCAGCUACUGCAGUCCUGGUUGGAAACAAAUGGGUAGAGCAGAGUAAUAGCCACCUUCCUACAGCAGAGAUGUGACCUUUCAAGGCACUGAAAGAGGUAUUCAUGGACAUAAUCGCCACUCUUUAUGGAGAGCCUUGUGUCUGGUACUACAUAAGACACUUUGCCUGUGUUAUUUGUUGUUUUUUGCUUUUUUGAGACAGGGUCUCACUCUGUCACCCAAGCUGGAGUGAAAUGGCUCAAUCACAGCUCACUGCAGCCUUGACCUCCCUGGCUCAGGUGAUCCUUCCACCUCAGCCUCCUGAGUAGCUGGGACUAUAGGUGCCCACCAUCAUGGCCACCUAAUUUUUGUACUUUUUGUAGAGACGGGGUUUCACCAUGUUGCCCAGGCUGGUCUCAAACUUCUGCGCUCAAGCGAUCCACCUGGCUUGUCUCCCAAAGUGCUAGGAUUACAGGCAUGAGCCACCAUGCCUGGCCAUAUGUGUCUUCUUUAAUCACCAUUUAACAGGAAAGAACACUGAAGCUCAGAGGGAUUAAGACCCUUUAGUAAAUGUUGGGUCCAUCACAUUCCUAAGGCCAAACUCCAGGCAAAGAUUUCUCAAACAUUUAAUGUGCAUAGAAGACACCUGGAGAGCUUAUAAAAUUGCAGAUUCUGAUUCAAUAGGUCUGUAGUGGGGCCUGAGAUUCUGCAUUUCAAGCAAGCUCCCAGGAGAUAUAGAUGCUGCUGGCUGGUGGAUCACAUUUCAAGAAGCAAUACUCUAAAUGUUUGUGCUUUUUAGAUACCAUCAUAAAAAAUAUUCAUGGCAGGCCAGGUGUGGUGGCUCAUGCUUAUAAUCCCAGCACUUUGGGAGGCUGAGACAGGAUUGCUUGAAGCCAGGAGUUUGAGAUAAACUUGGGCAACACAGUGAGAUUCCCGUCUCCACAAAGAGAUGAAAAUUAGCCGGAUGGUUGGCAUGCACCUGUAGUCCCAGCUACUCAGGACGAUGAGAUGGGAGGAUUGCUUAAACCCAGGAGGUCAAGCUGUGAUCACGCCACUGCACCCCAGCCUGGGAGACAGAGCAAGACCCUGUCUCAAAAAGGAAAGAAAAGACCACAAAAACAAAUCCAUGGCUCUUUUACUUGUUCUAAACACUUCCCUAGGACUUUCUCCCUUUUCUAGAACUUGGUGACAUGAGAAGAGAUUCCCUCUGCAAUACAAAUGUCAGAAUUUAACUCAAUGAACAAUUUCUCCUUCCGUUUAUUCAAUCCACACAACUUCGUUGAGUGCCUUCUAAGCCAGACACAGCAGUAGGUACGGGGGAGACCAGGAUAAAUGAGAUAAGGUCCUGGCCCCUAAAAGAGGAACUAUGGAUGAAGACAGGAUGUCUUAAAAAGUUUCUGAUGCUUCCAUGAAAGAACAGCCUGCAGCACACUGCUUUAGGAUCCCCAGUCCAGUCGUCCGCUGCUAUGGCAAUUGAGGUCAUUCUGACCGCUCCAGCGCCAUCUUCACCACUGUAAGGCUAGGGCACUUUUCAGCAUUGUGCCUUCUUCCAACCAUAUUGAUACAGAGACAAUUAUACAGUGGCUCAACCUGUCUAGAUUCUACUGCGAAAGUCCAAUUCACCUACCUUGGGUUAUGACUGUGUCAGUACACAUAUAAUAUUAUGCCUCUGUUUGUUGGAACAGGAACAUGUCGAAUGCUUCUUGGACUUCACCCAGGCUGGAAUGCAGCUGUGCAAUAUCAGCUCACUGCAGUCUCAAUCUCCCCAGUUGAAGCAAUCCUCUCACCUCAGCCUCCCAAGUAGUUGGAACUACAGGCAUGUGCUGCCAUGCUUGGCUAUUUUUAAAUUUUUUUGUAGGGACAAGGUCUCCCUGUGUUGCCCAGGCUGGUCUUGAACUCCUUGGCUCAAGUGACCCUCCUGCUUCAGCCUCCCCAAGUGCUGGGACUAUAAGCAUGAGCCACUACUCCCAGUCUCUGUAUACUUUUAAAUAAUUUUAUAUGCAUUUGGGACAUAGCAUAAAAACUAAUCUGAAAUUAAAUUUAACCUUAAGUUUAUUUAAUGAAACUUAGUUUCAGAAAGCAGCAUCAGGAUCUUAGAGAAUGGAAAGGUAAGUGUUAUCCAAGGGUGCAGCUAUCUGUUAAAAGUAUUAAUAUUGGCCAGGCAUGGUGGCUCACGCCUGUAAUCCCAGCACUUUGGGAAGCUGAGGUGGGUGGAUCACGAGGUCAGGAGUUUGAGACCAGCCUGGCCAACAUAGUGAAACCGCACCUCUACUAAAAAUACAAAAAUUAGCCAGGCAUGGUGGCGCGAGCCUGUAGUCUCAGCUACUUGGGAGGCUGAGGCAGGAGAAUCGCUUGAACCUGGGAGGCGGAGGUUGUGGUGAGUUGGGAUCACGCCACUGCACUCCAGCCUGGGCAACAGAGCGAGACUUUGUCUCAAAAAAAAAAAAGGGUUAAUAUUUUGGAGGCAUCUAACUUACUAAUUUUCCCUCAUUGACAUGGUAAUUUGUUUUCAUUUAUUCAUUAUUGUUGUUUGGUAUUUAUUUACUAUUAUUAUUUAAUCACGGACUAAGGCACUGCUAUGUUGUGACUCUUUGUGUGCCCCUAAAUUUAUAUGUGGAAAUCAUAACCCCCAAAAUAAUGGUAUUAGUAGGUGGAGCCCUUUGGGAGGUGAUUAGGUCAGGAAGGCAGAGCCCUCAUGAAUAGGAUUAGUGCUGUUAUAAAAGAGGCCCCAGAGGCUGGGCAUGGUGGCUCAUGCGUGUAAUCCCAGCAUUUUGGGAGGCUGAGGCAGGCAGAUCACUUGAGGACAGGAUUUUGAGACCAACCUGGACAACCCAGCAAAACUCUGUCUCUAUUAAAAAUACAGAAAUUAGCUGGGUGUGCUGGUGGGUGCCUGUAGUCCCCGCUACUUGGGAGGCAGAAGCAGGAGAAUCGCUUAACCUGGGAGGCAGAGGUUGAGAUUGCACUACUGCACUCCAACCUGGGCAAUAGAACAAGACUCAGUCUCAAAAAAAAAAAUAAUAAUAACAUAAAAAAGAGGCCUCAGAGAGCUGCCUUGCCCCUUCCACCAUGUGAGGAUGCAGUGAGAAGGUGCCGUCUAUGGGCCCUCACCACGCACUGAAUCUGCCAGUGUCUCGAUUUAGGACUUCACAGCCUCCAGAACUAUGAGAAAUAAGUUUCUGAUGUUGGUGAAUUACCCAGUUUAUGGUAUUUUGUUAUUGCAGCCUGAGUGGACUAACACAGGCAUACAUUCCAACUAGCAAGAAGUCUAAAUUGAUGACAUCAGAUGGCUCCCAGCUGUUCCCUAGAUGUGAAUAAACCCCCACAGAAAACCCUCUUUCUCUAGCAAGUGCUAUUCCUUUACCCUCCGCUUUUUUUUUUUUUUUUUUUUUUUGCGAUGGAGUCUUGCUCUGUCACCCAGGCUGGAGUGCAGCUCGAUCUUGGCUCACUGCAACCUCUGCUUCCUGGGUUCAAGUGAUUCUCCUUCCUCAGCCUCCCAAAGAGCGGGGACUACAGGGACCCGCCACCACGCCUGGCUAAUUUUUGUAUUUUCAGUAGAGACAGGAUUUCGCCAAGUUGGUCAGGCUGCUCUUGAACUCCUGACCUCAGGUGAUCCACCUGCCUUGGCCUCCCAAAGUGCUGGGAUUACAGGCGUGAGCCACCGUGCCUGGCCUCUUUACCCCCAUUUUUAUGGCAUGGCCAAAUAAGGGAGUGGGGAGAGAGGUGAAGCAUCUGGAAAGUGAGGAGAGAAGGCUCACACUGCUGCAGACAGCCAGCAUCAUUUGACUGCAGCUUCCAGAUGCCUGUUUGGUUUCAUUCCACUGAAAUCCUGGCACUUUGACUUGGGUCUUGUGGUCAUUUAAGGUCAUUUAAACCUAUCUCAACCCAGAUGCUGAGAAGACUGUAAACAGUCAGGAACACAGGAAGCUGGUCAAGAUAACAGAUAAGGGGGAAAAAAAGGCCUUGGCAGGGCACGAUGGCCCAUGCCUGUAAUCCCAGCACUCUGGGAGGCCUAGGCUGGAGGAUCACUGGAGCCCAGGAGUUUGAGACCACCCUGGGCAACAUCACAAGACCCUGUCUUUACCAUGUCCAGCUAAUUAUGUUUAUAAAUAAAAUUAUAAACAAAAUUAUAAUUACUUAUAAGCAAAAGUAGCUGGGCAUGGUGGCACGUGCCUAUAGUCCCAGCUACUCAGGAGGCUGAGAUGGGAGGAUCACUUGGGCCCAGGAAGUCAAGGCUGAAGUGAGCCAUGAUCGUGCCACUGCACUCCAGCCUGGGUGACAGAGUGAGACCCUGUCUUAAAAAACAAAAAUUAAAAACAGAAGAAAAGACCUUAAUCCCAUGAGCAACUAUAACAAUUAUAAUAGAGGAUACUUUUAUGGCUAUAAUUCUUUGGGAAACUUCUACUGCCAGGUGGCGAAGCAUUGUGAAGUUCUGGAAUUGAACUCUAGGUUGAAAGAUACCUGAAGGAACUCUUGGAGAUCUGUUCUCUUAAUUUAUGGAUGAGGCACAGAAGAUGUCAUUGCUGAAGUCAAGGUCUCACAGCAAGUCAUAAAGGAGCCAGAAUGCAAGGCUCAGUCUGCUGAGUCAUAAUCCACUGACCUCCCUUUGGGUUGCCUGCGCUCAUUUCCUCACUCGCUCCUCAAUUCAGCACACUCCAUCCUUCCUCCAGGAAUACAAUUUUGCCCUCAUCGCGAACCAUCUGUAGUCUCACUCAUUAUUUGGUUAAUUCAGUCAUUUUGCAGCUAUAUAUCCGGAACCCAGCAUGUGCCAGGGGCACGACAGGAACAUGACAGAUCCAGCCCCUGUCCCAAG